GUGGGGAAUUUUGGACAAUGGACGAAAGCCUGAUCCAGCCAUGCCGCGUGAGUGAAGAAGGCCUUCGGGUUGUAAAGCUCUUUUAGUCGGAAAGAAAGAGUUGCAAUGGAUAAUUGUGAUUUAUGACGGUACCGACAGAAAAAGCACCGGCUAACUACGUGCCAGCAGCCGCGGUAAUACGUAGGGUGCGAGCGUUAAUCGGAAUUACUGGGCGUAAAGGGUGCGCAGGCGGUCUUGCAAGUCAGAUGUGAAAGCCCCGGGCUUAACGUGGGAAUUGCGUUUGAAACUACAAGGCUAGAGUGCAGCAGAGGGGAGUGGAAUUCCAUGUGUAGCAGUGAAAUGCGUAGAGAUGUGGAAGAACACCGAUGGAGAAGGCAGCUCCCUGGGUUGACACUGACGCGCAUGCACGAAAGCGUGGGGAGCAAACA
RNAcentral lists this ribosomal RNA (428 nucleotides) under uncultured bacterium. Its description in RNAcentral is "bacterial SSU rRNA". It matches the Rfam family "Bacterial small subunit ribosomal RNA", at positions 354 to 774 of the family's 1533-position model. The record is from RNAcentral.